This 62-nucleotide transfer RNA is filed under the name Morphostenophanes sinicus. RNAcentral describes it as "tRNA-Phe". The record is from RNAcentral. Lineage: Eukaryota; Metazoa; Arthropoda; Insecta; Coleoptera; Tenebrionidae.
ACUUAGAUAGCUUAUGUAGAGCAUGAUAUUGAAGAUAUCAGGGAGAUUUAAAUUUUCAGGUA